AAAUUGAAGAGUUUGAUCAUGGCUCAGAUUGAACGCUGGCGGCAGGCCUAACACAUGCAAGUCGAACGGUAACAGGAAGCAGCUUGCUGCUUUGCUGACGAGUGGCGGACGGGUGAGUAAUGUCUGGGAAACUGCCUGAUGGAGGGGGAUAACUACUGGAAACGGUGGCUAAUACCGCAUAACGUCGCAAGACCAAAGAGGGGGACCUUCGGGCCUCUUGCCAUCAGAUGUGCCCAGAUGGGAUUAGCUGGUUGGUGAGGUAACGGCUCACCAAGGCGACGAUCCCUAGCUGGUCUGAGAGGAUGACCAGCCACACUGGAACUGAGACACGGUCCAGACUCC
Molecule: ribosomal RNA, 342 nt
Filed under: Salmonella enterica
Lineage: Bacteria; Pseudomonadati; Pseudomonadota; Gammaproteobacteria; Enterobacterales; Enterobacteriaceae
Also listed under: 1 other name
Description: bacterial SSU rRNA
Rfam family: Bacterial small subunit ribosomal RNA
Source: RNAcentral